GAUGAACGCUGGCGGCGUGCUUAACACAUGCAAGUCGAACGGAAAGGCCCAAGCUUGCUUGGGUACUCGAGUGGCGAACGGGUGAGUAACACGUGGGUGAUCUGCCCUGCACUUCGGGAUAAGCCUGGGAAACUGGGUCUAAUACCGGAUAGGACCACAUUUUGGAUGGUGUGGUGGAAAGUUUUUCGGUGUGGGAUGAGCUCGCGGCCUAUCAGCUUGUUGGUGGGGUAAUGGCCUACCAAGGCGUCGACGGGUAGCCGGCCUGAGAGGGUGUACGGCCUCAUUGGGACUGAGAGACGGCCCAGACUCCUACGGGAGGCAGCAGUGGGGAAUAUUGCACAAUGGGCGCAAGCCUGAUGCAGCGACGCCGCGUGGGGGAUGACGGCCUUCGGGUUGUAAACUCCUUUCGCUAGGGACGAAGCGUUUUUGUGACGGUACCUGGAGAAGAAGCACCGGCUAACUACGUG
This 467-nucleotide ribosomal RNA is filed under the name uncultured bacterium. Its description in RNAcentral is "partial 16S ribosomal RNA". It matches the Rfam family "Bacterial small subunit ribosomal RNA", at positions 28 to 507 of the family's 1533-position model. The record is from RNAcentral.